AUGUGGAAUAAAUCAAAAGCUUGGUGGUGAUGGUAGGGCCGUUUUCGGCGGACAACCACACUAACGUAUUGUUUCCAAAGACCAUUUUGAGCUUCAAAGUCUAUGGACUAGUGCCCCUGGAGCGGUGGGAAAACCUGUGGAUAGUUUCCGCCUCAACGCUGCAGCCGCAUUUAUCCACAGAUUCUCCCGCAUUUGGCCCCAACUCAUCCACGCUUUUUUCCAAGCCGG
RNAcentral lists this small RNA (228 nucleotides) under Xanthomonas campestris pv. campestris. Its description in RNAcentral is "ncRNA of unknown function". Lineage: Bacteria; Pseudomonadati; Pseudomonadota; Gammaproteobacteria; Lysobacterales; Lysobacteraceae. The record is from RNAcentral.